GCGGGAGGGAGGGGGGGCGGCGGCGGUUGGUGCAAGAUGUCGCUGCAGCCGAGGAAAGCAUGGGCAUCCCACAUGACCAACUCUCCCACCUUAAUUGUAAUGGUGGGACUGCCUGCUCGAGGCAAGACUUAUGUUUCCAAGAAACUCACACGCUACCUCAACUGGAUUGGUGUUCCCACCAAAGUUUUUAAUCUGGGUGAAUAUCGCCGUGAAGCUGUGAAGACUUACAAGUCGUUUGAGUUUUUCCGCCAUGACAACGAAGAAGCCAUGAAAAUCAGAGAAGAUUGUGCUAGAGCAGCAUUGCAGGAUGUGAAAACUUACCUCACAGAUGACCAUGGACAGAUCGCAGUUUUUGAUGCAACCAACACAACCCGGCAGAGGAGAAAUCUAAUCAUGAAUUUUGCCAGUGAUAAUACAUUUAAGGUGUUUUUCGUUGAAUCUGUCUGUGAUGAUCCAGAGGUCAUUGCUGCAAAUAUCAAGGAGGUAAAGGUUUCAAGCCCCGACUAUGCAGAGGUUGCACAAGACAAAAUAAUGGAUGACUUCCUCAAACGCAUUAAAUGUUACCAAGUUACCUAUGAACAAUUGGAUCCCGAUGAUUAUGACAAAGACCUGUCCUUCAUUAAGGUAAUAAAUGUUGGUCGACGAUUUCUUGUGAACAGAGUCCAGGAUUACAUUCAGAGUAAAAUAGUGUAUUACUUGAUGAACAUUCAUGUCUAUCCACGCACCAUCUACCUGAGCAGACACGGGGAGAGUGAAUACAACAGUUGUGGCAGGCUUGGCGGUGACUCGGGUUUAUCACCACGAGGGAAGCAGUAUGGGGAAGCCUUGCGAAAAUUUGUUGAAGAGCAGAAGAUUCCAGACCUGAAGGUUUGGACUAGUCAGCUCAAACGAACAAUCCAAACGGCAGAGGCUCUUGGUGUUCCGUACGAACAGUGGAAAAUCCUCAAUGAGAUCGAUGCUGGUGUUUGUGAAGAGUUGACUUACAGUGAAAUCCACGACAAAUAUCCAGAUGAAUUUGCACUACGAGACCAGGACAAGUACCACUACCGAUACCCAGGAGGAGAGUCCUACCAAGAUUUGGUCCAACGGGUGGAGCCUGUCAUCAUGGAGUUGGAGCGACAAGGGGACGUUCUUGUAAUUGCACACCAGGCUGUCAUGAGAUGCCUCGUCGCUUACUUUAUGGAUAAAGGAGCAGAUGAACUACCGUAUUUGAAGUGUCCUCUACACACAGUCAUGAAACUAACUCCUGUUGCUUAUGGUUGUAAAAUGGAAUCAAUUUAUCUUAAUGUUGAAGCAGUAAACACACAUCGUGACCGUCCACUGUGUUUUAUGAAAUCCCUGCUUGACGGUAUCUUUCGGAGGAAGAUCAAGUAGAUCAAGUAAUGACCAUACAGCUUCAUACAAGUACAAGUCACCUGCAUGCAAGGGAUUGAAGUUGAAUCUUUCAACAGUAAGCUAAUGUUUCACUCGGUCGUACACGAGAAGAAGCGUUGAGCACUGUCCCUCAUCAUAAAUAACUGGAAUCUACUCGACAAACGUCUGCUGUUACAUCGUGUCAUAUUGGGUCCAGCUAAGCUGCCAAAUAAUGUUGCAAGGGACACGAUCGCCACCCACUCAUAUCAUCCAACAAUGUUGGUUCAGGGCAAACAUUCAUCGUAGUUUGUAUCUCGUGGUGGGAAGGAAAGUAAUUUGAAGGUUGUUCCUGUGAUUGAGUUCAAUCAAAUGCUGUCUACACCUUGCCUGCCUGAAAGAGCAGGGUAGUCAGUUUCCCCGUGUGAGCCAGCAAUCCAGUUGAUGCUGCCCUUUGUGCAGAUGGAACAUGGAAAGCCAUUGCCCUCAAGGGGCACAAAGUGCCGCAGUAGCUCGACGAGUCAGGCAGUAUCGCCAUGUGACCUCAUCCAUCCUUUUCCUCCAGAGAUGCUGUCUGACCCGCUGAGUUACUCCAGCACUUUGUGUCGUUCUUUGGUAUAAACCAGCAUAUGCAGUUCUUUGUUUCCACAUCUUCCCUGAUGAGUUGCCCCUUAAUUUAUAAAUAGAGCUUGAAUUUGUUUGUCUUAUUUAUCAAGAAAACACAUCCAUAACUGGACACUAAAAUAAUUGUUAUUUUAUAGGCAGAGGAAAUGGUGUUAAUAUAUUUUGUAAUACCAAUCAUUGAUUUUGCUUUGAUUGCAGCUAUUUUAACUUGGUUGAGGUGCCCAGACAGUGGGCAAAGAUGUACUUGUGUGUGGACUGGAAUAAGCUUGCCAUGUGUGGCUGAGUUACUAAGGGAGUGGGUGAGGGGAAAACCUUGAGUAAGCAAGUCGUACUGCGUGACUUUACACACGCAGGCGUUAUUUAUUGCCCGGGUCACAUGGUUGUAGUUUUAUUACAAAAGUCAAAUGCGCUUUCCCCUUGCUUUAAAAAAUAUAUAUAUAUAUGAUAUUUUUCAAACAAAACUAGAAUAAAAAACUCUCCUGAACGAACACUAAAAUGAGAACAAAAAAGAACUGAAAAAAUCCUUCAGCAAUAAUUUGUUUCAUCUUGAUUUGGUAAAGUGUUUUUUUUGGGUUAUUUUUCACUGUUAGAAUUUAAUGUAUUGUUAACGCUUAUUAUAUUUGAAACUUUUAAGUUGUAUGGGAAACCAUAAGUUAGUUUGUUGCAGCAGAGAAUAAUUUUGUGUUUAUAUAUAUAUCAGGUAUUUUUGUAUGUCCUUUUAAAUCUCUCCAAGGACUAUGAUGACCUCUGUUCUCAUAGUUUUGUUACAGCCCCGCCAAAUGUAGCCCCACAGAUAAAUGAUACAGCUCUCCAUUGAAUGGAUGAAUAGUCAAGACAAUGUUCAAACAUGGGACACACUUGAACUAUAAUUUUGGACAAUUUACUGGAGCUUUUAGUUUAGUUUCAAAAAUGUUGCUUUCUCCUCUCUCAAAGUAACUGGCAGUGGAGGCGAAUUCACUGGAUGUUUUCAAGAGAGAGUUAGAUUUAACUCUUAGGGCUAACGGAAUCUAAGGAUAUGGGGAGAAAGCAGGAACGGGGAACUGAUUUAGGAUGAUUAGCUGUGAUCAUACUGAAUGGCGUUGUUGGCUCCAAGGGCCGAAUGGCCUACUCCUGCACCUAUUGUCUAUGUGCAUUUGCAAGGCAAUUUGUUUUAAAUGUGUAGAGAAUGGUGGGUGUCUGGAGAGGUGAUGGAAGUCAAUGUGAUACCUGUGGUGUGAACAGGUAGGGAAUGCAGGGAUACAGACCAUGUACAGAAUGAUGGGAUGAGUUAGAAUGGCACCAUGGUCAAACAUAGUCAAGUUGGGCCGAAGGGCCUGUUCCUGCGCUGUGCUGUUGUGUGUUCUAAUUGGCCUUAAUCUUGUUUUGCUAUUGUUGCUUUCUAUUUUACAAUGAUAAUCAUGUUCAGUGGUCUUUCUGCAGAAGUCACAGUGUGGGUGGUGCUGUUCACGUUGUCUGUUCCAUUCCAUUGUGUUUGGGUUUGUCCGUGGUGAUGAUGGUUUCCGUCUGUCAAUGCCAUGGAUGCCAGCGCGGUCACGAGUAAACCAUGCGGCAGCUUGUUCACAACUUGCUUCCCGUGCAUUAAGGGAAAGUUGAAAAGCUGAAAAUGCUGAAUUAGAAACCAAUAAUUGCUCAUCACUAGAUUACUGCUGCCAACUCUCAAUGCAAAGUGGAAGAUAGAUUCAAUACUGAUUCUUCUUCAUUCACUUCCCAGACUUGGGUGGAACAUUUAAAUUCUGAAAUUAAGUGGGAUUACUUUCCGAAUGUACUUGUGCCAAGGCUGAAGCUUUAAAUGGCCAGCAGCCAGUGCUGGCUUUAGCAGUCCUGCAUCUCUUAGCUCAGCAGCAGUGCAGAGGAGCACUCCCUCCGUGGGUCAGUCCGAGUGUUACGUCAGGAUUCAUAAAACCUGCUCUUGUUGCACCCUGAUUGGGAAGAUCUUGCUCCGCGGGUGGGAAUUAUGGGAUGAAGCUGGGUCCGGUGUGUGAGGGAGUGAGUACCUGCAGUAUGCUGUGUAUGUUGCCAGGAGGAGCAUGCAAGCUCAAUACCUUGGACUUGGCCAGUGACUACCUCCUGCACAAUUACUGUAUUAAUCUCGAUCAGGUAACACAUUGAUUGGUAUUUUGCUGCUCUACAACUAGUGUACGGGUAAGGGGCAGCACGGUGGCGCAGCGGUAGAGUUGCUGCCUUACAACGGCCGAGACCUGGGUUCCAUUCUGAUUAUGGGUGCUACUUGUGUGGAGUUUGCAUGUUCUCCCUGUGACCGUGUGGGUUUUCUCCAGAUGCUCUGGUUUCCUCUCACAUCCCAAAGACAUGCAGGUUUGUAGGUUAACUGUAAAAUUGUCCCUAGUAUCUAGGGUAGGACAACUAUAUAGAUAGAUAGACAGCCUUUUAUUGUCAUUCAGACCGAAGUCUGAACGAAAUUGCAGCAGUCAUACAUAUAAUACAAUACAAUAAAACAACAAACACAUAUUAACAUCCACCACAGUGAGUCCACCCAGCAUCUCCUCACUGUGAUGGAGGCAAAAGUCUUAGGUCUGCAGUCUCUUCCCUCCUCUUCUCCCUCUGCGCUGGGGCGAUACCCCCCCCGGGCGAUGUUAAGAACAGUCCCGCGGCUCAAACACCGCGGCCCGGGGUGGUUGAAGCUGCCGCCCACCAGUCCUGCAGACGCAGCCGCUGGCCCGCCCGAACCCCGGACUCAGGCCACCGUCUCAGCCACCCUCACAUGAGUACCGUACUGUCUUCAGCCUCGGGCUGGGCCGCCCCGACUUGGGCGUUGCUUCUCCCCCCGGACCGGGCCGCCCCGACUUGGGCGUCGCUUCUUCCCGGGGCUGGGCUGCCCCGACUUGGGCGCCGAACCUCCCUCGGGCUGCCAGCGCCGCACCUUCCCGAGCUCGGCCGCUCCGACGGGAGCCUCGUUCCACCCUCGGGCUGGCCGCCCUCACGGGAGCGUCCCAACCUCUUCCAGCCCUGAGCUGGACCACCCUCACGGGAGCGAGCUCAGGGCGAGUCCUGACGGUGCUCUGCCUCCGGAGCCUCGAGGUCGUCAGCUCCAUUUGGCCUCAGCACAGACGGAGGCAGAGAAGGGGAAUACGACAAAAAGGUCGUAUUCCCCCGCAGGGAGAGACUGCAAACCCCGUUUCAACCCCCCCCCCCCCAAAACACAAACUAAAACCAAAAAACUAGACUAACCAAACAAAAUAAACAACAUAAAAAAAACACAAAACAACGGGACCGCCGGUAAGCCGCUGCAGCCAGAGCCGCGCCGCCACUCCGAUAGGUUAUCGAUGGUUGGCGUGUGACUCGGACAAGGAGCAUAUUUCCACGCUGUAUCUCUGAAAUAAACUAAGCUCGAGUUGAUUUGUACACCUAACACUGCAGUAUGUUUCUAGUAAGUUUGAAUUUGGAUUGAAGUGAAUAUUUUAUUGUCACAGUGAAAGUCUUUGCUUGCCUACUCAAGGUAUGUAAAUAGUCGCCCAUGAAGGGCACUUACAAAUUUGCAUUGUUCACAAAUAUUAACUUUCCUUCUAGGCACUUUACAAACCUUCCUGACAACUGCUGCUAGUGAUGUUACAAACGUGGUUGUGCUGCUUUUAAAGUUUGUGGCUCUUUUUCUCUUUGGUACGAUUGUUGAAAUGAACAAAAUAUUGCUGUUCUGUGAGGGAAUAAAAGCUAAAAUGACUUAAUUCAUGGCAAUCGGGGAUUAGUUUAGUGCAAUCUUCUUUGUUGCACCCAAAACUAAAUGAAAUGGGAAAGCAGUUCAUCAUGGUCAAACUGGCUUCAGGGUUUGGCUGACACUCUGAUGGCAUUGUGGUUAGGGGAACACUGGACUCUCUUAGAGACACAAGUUCAAAUCCCAGCAAGGGGCUGGUAUGAAAUCUGAAAUCUUGUAAGCAUCAGAGUCUCAGUAAGACACAAUGCUGGAGGAACUCAGCUGGCCAGCCAAUGGGAAUGAAUGGACAGGUGAUGUUGCAGGUUUUGUGGAGGGACUGGUCAGAUUUCUUCAGACUGAAACUCUGUGUGCCCAUUCCUUCCACAGAUGCUUCCUGACCUGCUGAGUUCCUCCAGCACUUUGUGCUUUGCUCAAGAUUCCAGCGUCUGCAGUUCCUUGUGUCUAACAUGAGGUUUAUUUAUUCAUGCAAAGGAGGGGGUAUUUUGGGAUUGUCUACCCUAAGCUCUGUGGGGACUUGAUCACUGAGUUUCAUGUGGUCAACAGGUUUCUUCUCUUCUUGCGAAUGAAACAUAAAUAAGCCAAAGGAAUAGUUAGAUCUCGCGCCGGGUGUUGAGCAGCCAGGUUGUUGUGUCUGUUGGCGUCAAUGUCUGCCAGGCCCUGACACAGCUCCAUGUGGUGGGUGGGUGGGUAGAGCGGGCACCCAGAGAUGACAUGGUUGGCUGUCUGUUGUUCUGCUCCACAUUCACAGGCUGAAAUGCCCAACAGGUUUCUGGAUGUGCAGGAAAUAAAGGGAUUUGGCAGUGGACAGAGACUGUAGCUGAGGUAGAGGAUCAGGCAAACUCUCCCAGAGGACCAGACUCCAUUCCAGUUCCCCAUUUUCAUGUUCUCAGAUUAAAAAUGGUCUCAAUAAAUGUAACCAUGAAGUAAGAAUCUCCAGAAACCUGUUUGGUUCACUGAUACCUUUAGACAAUGAGCGCACGGUGACGCAGCGGGUAGAGCUGCUGCCUCACAGCGCCAGAGACCCGGGUUCCAUCCUGACUACGGGUGCUGCCUGUACGGAGUUUGUACGUCCUGUCCUCCCUGUGACCUGCGUGGAUUUUCUUCUUCAGUUUCCCCCCACACGACAAAGACGCACAGGCUUGUAGGUAAAAUGGCUUGGUGUAAAAUGUAAGAUCAUCCCUUGCGUAGGGUAGUGUAAUGUGCUGGUUGGCACGGACUUGAUGGGCCGAAGGUCCUGUUUCUCGUUGUAUCUCUAAACUAAACUAUCUAGUGUGUAGGAUAGUGCUAGUGUACAGGGUGAUCGCUGGUAGGUGUGGACUCGGUGGGUCGAAGGACCAGUUUCCGUGCUGUAUGUGUAAAAUCUAACAUCCCUUUUCAAGUCUACAAUAAAGUUACCGUCCCUUUCCUGGCAGGGCCAGUCUUAUUAACUUAUUGUACCGUACCAAACUAACCUGGGCAAACUGAAAUCCUGCUGGUUGUGAAUUUCGUGUCAUCCAGUGUGUAUGUGUGCGGCAAUCUCAGCUGCCUCGACCCGAGGGAAGGCAAUGUCCAAACGCACAACGUACUGACUUGUAAAGUCGUGUACAAAUUACUGCACAAUUUGUAAAUAUAAUAUUGUGACAAAUAUAAAUGUAACAGUGAAAUAUAUCUAGUUUCUAAUGGUUGAAGGAUUUUAUGUUGAAUAAUCCAGUCUGGUAAAGUGAAUUAAUUUCUAAGGGAAAUGUUCAAAUGAAGAAGAAAUGUUAGUUUUGCACAAACAUGUGGAAAAAUUAUUUAUGUACAAAAUCCCUUCAUUUUAAUGUAAUGAUUUGGUGAAGAUUUUAACUUCAUAUUUUUCUGGAAGAAUACAAAUCUGUGGGGUGUUGGUGAUUGACAGAUAUGAUUGUACUUUAUAGUCUGUGAUUUGCUUGAUUUUUAUGUGUCUAAAUCACAAAGGGAAUAUGUUAAUCACCUGAAAAUAAAUAAAUUAUCUUCUGUGUGGAAGUAA
RNA transcript from Leucoraja erinaceus (little skate), 7628 nucleotides. It is a transcript of the gene named 6-phosphofructo-2-kinase/fructose-2,6-bisphosphatase 2-like, with no coding region annotated. The record is from RefSeq and is a predicted model, not a curated record. NCBI's taxonomy places the organism in Eukaryota, Metazoa, Chordata, Chondrichthyes, Rajiformes, Rajidae. The transcript has 15 exons.